RNAcentral lists this ribosomal RNA (253 nucleotides) under uncultured Eubacteriales bacterium. RNAcentral describes it as "uncultured Clostridiales bacterium partial 16S ribosomal RNA". It matches the Rfam family "Bacterial small subunit ribosomal RNA", at positions 524 to 776 of the family's 1533-position model. The record is from RNAcentral. Lineage: Bacteria; Bacillati; Bacillota; Clostridia; Eubacteriales.
UACGUAGGGGGCAAGCGUUAUCCGGAUUUACUGGGUGUAAAGGGAGCGUAGACGGCGUGCCAAGUCUGAUGUGAAAGGCCGGGGCUCAACCCCGGGACUGCAUUGGAAACUGGCAUGCUAGAGUGCCGGAGGGGCAAGCGGAAUUCCUAGUGUAGCGGUGAAAUGCGUAGAUAUCACACAGAACACCGAUUGCGAAGGCAUCUGACGAAUCGGAGAUUGACGCUGAUGCACGAAAGCGUGGGGAUCGAACAGG